CAACCCUUAAGCCUAGCUUAGUAUUGGGAAUCUGCUUAAACGCAGCUCCUUAAAUAUAGUUGGCAGAGCACGACUGUACUCUGAGCGUAGUAAUUUAUUAUCUCGUUCUGGAAGACAGCUGUACGAUCGCCACAAACCUAUUUAUUUUUUAAUGG
This 155-nucleotide unclassified non-coding RNA is filed under the name uncultured Hyponectriaceae. Its description in RNAcentral is "sequence contains ITS2". The record is from RNAcentral. Lineage: Eukaryota; Fungi; Ascomycota; Sordariomycetes; Xylariales.